This is a long non-coding RNA of Silurus meridionalis, 579 nucleotides long. RefSeq lists it as uncharacterized. The transcript is spliced from 3 exons. The record is from RefSeq and is a predicted model, not a curated record. Lineage: Eukaryota; Metazoa; Chordata; Actinopteri; Siluriformes; Siluridae.
UGGAACCUCAGGCUGUAAGUGCAUGAGGCGGAGCACACACAUUGAGUUUGGUCUCCAAAAAUGUUCUGUGUUCUCCAGAAAAGGAGAAGCUGUUUCCAAGCUUGAGACUCUGAUUUCUGCCUUGUUGCAAAAAAGGAGAAGCUGUUUCUAAGGUUGGGACUUUGAUGAUUUCUCCCCUGUUGCAAAAUAAACACUGGAUCUCACUACUGGUGGCCUUCUGGUUCCUGGCUUCAAGAUAUUUGUCUCAUCCAUGCUGCACAUACAAACAUGGGGGACAUGGACUACAACUUCCAAUACUUUCCUGCUCUCACUCGUCCUCAUAAGGAUUGAGCACAGGUGUUACCUUUUGUACACACUCUCCUACAUACAAUAUUCAAGAAAUGCUCUUUCUCACACACAGUACAAAUAAAUAAUUUUACUUAUUCUUGUUUUGCUGACCUUUACCAAGCCUUUUGAUCAUUUGUACUGCCAUUGUGUUCCACAGUUUUUUUUGUCUGUGUUCAAUAUUGCCUUUCUUAUAUUAUUUCUGUUUGCCAAUUUACUGACUUCUACCUGUUUUUGUUUUGUUUUCUAUGCAUA